This 525-nucleotide ribosomal RNA is filed under the name uncultured bacterium. RNAcentral describes it as "bacterial SSU rRNA". It matches the Rfam family "Bacterial small subunit ribosomal RNA", at positions 381 to 896 of the family's 1533-position model. The record is from RNAcentral.
ACCUGACGGAGUGACGCCGCGUGGGGGACGAAGGCCUUCGGGUUGUAAACCCCUGUCAGAGGGAAAGAAGGGUGUCGGAGUGAUAACCUCCGGCACUUGACGGUACCUUCAGAGGAAGCCCCGGCCAACUCUGUGCCAGCAGCCGCGGUAAGACAGAGGGGGCAAGCGUUGCUCGGAAUCACUGGGCGUAAAGGGCGCGUAGGCGGGAGGGCAAGUCAGUCGUGAAAUCCUCCGGCUCAACCGGAGAACGUCGGCUGAUACUGCCUUUCUUGAGGGAUGCAGAGGAGACUGGAAUUCCCGGUGUAGCGGUGAAAUGUGUAGAGAUCGGGAGGAACACCGGUGGCGAAGGCGGGUCUCUGGGCAUCUCCUGACGCUGAGGCGCGAAAGCGUGGGGAGCAAACGGGAUUAGAUACCCCGGUAGUCCACGCUGUAAACGAUGACGACUAGGUGUGGGGGGGUUCAGUCCUCUCCGUGCCGCAGCUAACGCAUUAAGUCGUCCGCCUGGGGAGUACGGCCGCAAGGUUG